AUUGAACGCUGGCGGCAUGCUUUACACAUGCAAGUCGAACGGUAACAGGCCGCAAGGUGCUGACGAGUGGCGAACGGGUGAGUAAUGCAUCGGAACGUGCCCAGUCGUGGGGGAUAACUACUCGAAAGAGUAGCUAAUACCGCAUACGAUCUAUGGAUGAAAGCGGGGGACCGUAAGGCCUCGCGCGAUUGGAGCGGCCGAUGUCAGAUUAGGUAGUUGGUGGGGGAAAGGCUCACCAAGCCAACGAUCUGUAGCUGGUCUGAGAGGACGACCAGCCACACUGGGACUGAGACACGGCCCAGACUCCUACGGGAGGCAGCAGUGGGGAAUUUUGGACAAUGGGCGCAAGCCUGAUCCAGCAAUGCCGCGUGCAGGAAGAAGGCCUUCGGGUUGUAAACUGCUUUUGUACGGAACGAAACGGCUCUGGUUAAUACCCGGGGCUAAUGACGGUACCGUAAGAAUAAGCACCGGCUAACUACGUG
Molecule: ribosomal RNA, 482 nt
Filed under: uncultured bacterium
Lineage: Bacteria
Description: partial 16S ribosomal RNA
Rfam family: Bacterial small subunit ribosomal RNA
Source: RNAcentral